This 522-nucleotide ribosomal RNA is filed under the name uncultured bacterium. RNAcentral describes it as "bacterial SSU rRNA". It matches the Rfam family "Bacterial small subunit ribosomal RNA", at positions 355 to 896 of the family's 1533-position model. The record is from RNAcentral.
UAGGGAAUCUUCGGCAAUGGGGGGAACCCUGACCGAGCAACGCCGCGUGAGUGAAGAAGGCAUUCGUGUCGUAAAACUCUGUAGUAGGGGAAGAAAGAAAUGACAGUACCCUAAAAGAAAGCCCCGGCUAACUACGUGCCAGCAGCCGCGGUAAUACGUAGGGGGCAAGCGUUAUCCGGAAUAACUGGGCGUAAAGGGUGCGCAGGUGGUUUAACAAGUUAGUGGUGAAAGGCAUAGGCUCAACCAAUGUAAGCCAUUAAAACUGUUUAACUUGAGUGCAGGAGAGGAAAGUGGAAUUCCUAGUGUAGCGGUGAAAUGCGUAGAUAUUAGGAGGAAUACCAGUGGCGAAGGCGACUUUCUGGACUGCAACUGACACUGAGGCACGAAAGCGUGGGGAGCAAACAGGAUUAGAUACCCUGGUAGUCCACGCCGUAAACGAUGAGUACUAGGUGUCGGGUGAAGAACUCGGUGCCGAAGUUAACACAUUAAGUACUCCGCCUGGGGAGUACGCUCGCAAGAGUA